RNAcentral lists this ribosomal RNA (628 nucleotides) under Latilactobacillus curvatus. RNAcentral describes it as "bacterial SSU rRNA". It matches the Rfam family "Bacterial small subunit ribosomal RNA", at positions 61 to 665 of the family's 1533-position model. Lineage: Bacteria; Bacillati; Bacillota; Bacilli; Lactobacillales; Lactobacillaceae. The record is from RNAcentral.
GUUAGAUUGAAGAAGCUUGCUUCUGAUUGAUAACAUUUGAGUGAGUGGCGGACGGGUGAGUAACACGUGGGUAACCUGCCCUAAAGUGGGGGAUAACAUUUGGAAACAGAUGCUAAUACCGCAUAAAACCUAGCACCGCAUGGUGCAAGGUUGAAAGAUGGUUUCGGCUAUCACUUUAGGAUGGACCCGCGGUGCAUUAGUUAGUUGGUGAGGUAAAGGCUCACCAAGACCGUGAUGCAUAGCCGACCUGAGAGGGUAAUCGGCCACACUGGGACUGAGACACGGCCCAGACUCCUACGGGAGGCAGCAGUAGGGAAUCUUCCACAAUGGACGAAAGUCUGAUGGAGCAACGCCGCGUGAGUGAAGAAGGUUUUCGGAUCGUAAAACUCUGUUGUUGGAGAAGAACGUAUUUGAUAGUAACUGAUCAGGUAGUGACGGUAUCCAACCAGAAAGCCACGGCUAACUACGUGCCAGCAGCCGCGGUAAUACGUAGGUGGCAAGCGUUGUCCGGAUUUAUUGGGCGUAAAGCGAGCGCAGGCGGUUUCUUAAGUCUGAUGUGAAAGCCUUCGGCUCAACCGAAGAAGUGCAUCGGAAACUGGGAAACUUGAGUGCAGAAGAGGACAGUGGA